GACGAACGCUGGCGGCGUGCUUAACACAUGCAAGUCGAACGGUAAGGCCCUUCGGGGUACACGAGUGGCGAACGGGUGAGUAACACGUGGGUGAUCUGCCCUGCACUUCGGGAUAAGCCUGGGAAACUGGGGCUAAUACCGGAUAGGACUCCGGACUGCAUGGUCUGGGGUGGAAAGCUUUGGCGGUGUGGGAUGGGCCCGCGGCCUAUCAGCUUGUUGGUGGGGUGAUGGCCUACCAAGGCGACGACGGGUAGCCGGCCUGAGAGGGUGACCGGCCACACUGGGACUGAGAUACGGCCCAGACUCCUACGGGAGGCAGCAGUGGGGAAUAUUGCACAAUGGGCGCAAGCCUGAUGCAGCGACGCCGCGUGAGGGAUGACGGCCUUCGGGUUGUAAACCUCUUUCAGCAUCGACGAAGCGAAGGUGACGGUAGGUGCAGAAGAAGGACCGGCCAACUACGUGCCAGCCGCCGCGGUAA
This 478-nucleotide ribosomal RNA is filed under the name uncultured bacterium. Its description in RNAcentral is "partial 16S ribosomal RNA". It matches the Rfam family "Bacterial small subunit ribosomal RNA", at positions 28 to 523 of the family's 1533-position model. The record is from RNAcentral.